UUUUAAUUUCUAGAAAAGUUGGGAUGGUGUUAAAGAUCUUCAAGCAAGUCAGAAGUUCUGCUUUUGACUCACUUCCAUACAUGCAUUGAGAGGCCCCCUAAACUAAAUUUGUAGGCACUAAGCAGCAGAUAUCUCCAGCAAAUCUGCAAUUUCUUUCAUAUCCAUCCAUUUUGUAAUUCUGCUGCUUUACAGGAGCAGGAAUCCAGUGGAGGCUGCACCCCUGCUCAUUAAUGCUUGUCUGCCUCCUUCAGCACUCUGGUUGGGAUUUCUUGGGGGGAGUUUCAAAAGGAUUCUUCUCUCAUAUGGCUGAUAUCACAGGAUAACGUUUAUUUUUCCUGUCCUGAUUUUCUUGUACUAACAGAUGGAUUGUUCCUGAGCAAACAAAUGCAUUACUUCUGAACAUGUUUUAACAUUGCUUUAGACUAACAAAUCUCUCUCUCUUUUUUUUUUUUUUUUUUGAACAUUUCAUUUUGAGUAAUCGAAGAUCAGAAUUAGAAUAAUAAUAAGUGAUGAAAUGAGUGAGGAUUUGUUUAUGAACUUUGUCUUUUUUUUUUUCCUACAGUUUUGUCCCAUUAUUACUGUUACUAUAUUUAUUUUGUCCAAAGUGCAACCAUCUCAGCAUCUGUCAUUGUAUCUGUUAGAAAUACACAGGCAAGGAGAGCUCACAGUAGUAAAUUAUGGUUCAUCCAACCACUUAAUUCUUAUGAUUGCUGGCUUUCACCAAAAAUAAAAAAAAAAAAAAAAGACUGAAAUUCAGUGCAGUUGGCCACACUACACAGCCUCUCACAGCCUCUGAGUGCAGCGGUGGCAUUAGAGCAGGGCAUGAGUGCUGAGGCCACCUGGGAGCAGAGGCUGUGUGCCAGCACUUCAUGGCUGCUUCUGUGGCUUUGGAUUUUUCUGAUGUUUACAUGAGUCCCCACAGCACAAGAGAAGUUAAGCACCUGAUAAGCACCACAGCUCUUCCAUGGCACAGCGGCUAGAGGAUGCAGGGAUCUUGGGCAUGUUCAGCCAGGAGCGAAGUCCUGCUGCCCUCCAGUUCCUGAGCCAGAAGGUUGGAACGGAUCUUUAAAGAUUAUCUAGUUGAGAAUGAUGUGGCAAUGCUCAUCAAUCUGAACCACUUGCAUCAGUCCUCACAGAAACUCCAAGCACUGCUUUUCCCCCCUCUGAAAGCAGCUUUUGCUGCCACCUUUGCUGACUCCCAGCUCAAAAAUCCCUCCAAACUGCUGAAGUGCAACUCACUUCCCUGCCAACAGAGCACAAAAGUGGAGCCUGGACUGACCUUCAGGUAUCUGUGAGAGGAAAGCCCAGAUUCUGAUUUCUCGAAGAAGGAUCAGGGACUGAGCUGAGAGAGGAGAGAUUUGAGUUCAAGCAACUUGGGAUCUGCAGUAGCAUCAUCACUGUUUCCUUGGGCUGGUUUCCCCUGCUGAGCUGUGCAUCACUACACAGGCUGGAUGAUGUCAGUGCUGCCCAAGCAAGCUUCAAUUUGGCUGCUGAAUAAAGGGGAGAGUUGUCGUCACCACACAGACAGAAAACCAAAGAAAGCCUGUGUCUUCUAGCUAAAAAGCCAGCUUAAGUGAAGGCGUAAGCAUCUUUUUGAGGUACUGUGGAGACAACAGCACACAGGCAUCUUGGUGUUGUCUGUCCAUUGGCAGCACUGGCUCAUGAGGCAGUUCCCCAUCCCCAGAUCUGUGUGAGACACCUCAGCCUGCUGCUCAUCUGUGGGAUUUUGGUUCAUGGACUUUUGCUAUUCUCCUGCACAUCCAUGAGCAAUGCCACUCUCUCACACCUGCAUCUCAGGUCAGUUUAAAAACAGCUGCUGUUUGAUGGCACACACUAAAUGAAUUACUGUCCUCAGUUACGAGGCUGUCCUCCAGCCUACAAGUCUGGAGAAUGAGACCUUUGCUGGUGCCAUGCAGGAGGCCAAGAGCUGGCAGAAGCACAGGCAAAGGAAAAGUCCCACUGGGUCAAGGGAAGGGGCAUGGCAGACUAAUGAACUCCAUUACUGCAAGGAGAACUUUGUUCAACUUCUCAUGCCAGAAAGGACUGCCCAGGCUGGCAGGUAAAUCUCCCCGAAGAUAGAGGAAAUAGGGGGUUAGAGCACCAUAUUUAUCUCCAGCUACUUAGCAGAUAGUGAGAUGCUGCAAAACAGAAUUGAGUUUCAGCAGAAGGAAGGUGUUACUGAAUAGUAACAAUGGCACAACAACGCUUUGCUCUGCCUCCCUUGGCAGCAACCUGCUCUUAGGUGGAAGACUGCUCUUCAGCAUUUGGCUCAGGUCAGACAGGUGUUUGCGUGUCAUAUGCAGCAUCGUGCACUGAAAAGCUUGAUGUGUGAGGAGAAUGGAGAUCGAGCACAUCCACAGAAGCGGCGGCUGGUUGGGCUUGCAAGCACACUGAGGAAGGAGCAGCUCAGUGCUUACCCAUGGGGCGUCCCUUCAGAGGGAGCACGCAUUGCAGCUGUGAUAUGCACAGAGCUGGUGGCACUCACUGGAUGCUCCCAGAAGACAAACAGCAUUGGUCCAGAUCAAAUGCCUCCCACAAGAAGUUCGGACUUCUUUCUUAGAGAAGUAAGUGGCAAUCUUCCCCUUUUGAUUCUUCUUUUCUUUUUCUUAUGGUUUCUCUUGUAAAUACAGAGGCCAGAAGGCCAUGCUUAAAGAAUUCAUUUACAAACUUGCAAUAUUGUUUUGAACUAUAGCAAUUAAACAGAAAAUAAAAAAAUCAGUUCAGCAUCCUGUUUGGAUGUAAUUAAAGGUAUAAUCUGUUCUAUUUGAAUACUUCAAUGCUUACCCUUCUUAAAAAAACAAAUAAGAAUAGUAGCUCAUUUGCAGUGUUUUUUUCCAACCCAUCUAAAAAGACUAACUGAUGAAGCAAGAAUAAUAAUUUUUAAAUGUGGCAUAAGCACAGAAAUAUCAACUGCAGCUUUCAAAUUAUUGCUGCAGAUCCCGAGCCUGAUGAGAGCUCAAUAACAAGGGGUAUGAGCUUUAUGGCAAAACACUGAAGUCUUCCACUAUUUCCUAUCAGCAUCUUGAUAUGGCUGAUAUAAUUACCUAUCAAAUACAUCAGUGGAAUGAAUAUCAGAGGAUAUAAAAAAAUACGUAAGUCGGAUGCAUAUCAGCUCAGUCUUUUAGGGGCUGUUUGAUCUCAAGGUUUUUUUGUAAGAAUAAAAGACCAAUAUGGCAUUCAUUGCCCUUUGUUUUCUAUAAGCAGUGAUGAUUUUACAGCACAAUAAAAUUAGACUAUUAUUGGCUGGCUUAUGAGUUCUAGCUGGAUCUUUUUUCCUCCUACCGGACAUUUCUUCACUGCUUCUCAAAGAAAUUGAAGUCAGGUGUAAAGUUAAUAUCUGCCCUGUUCAUUUAUUCUUCUGUAAGUGAUCAAGAUUUCCCCAAAUCACAGGGCAAUCUCUUGCCUUCUGAGAAUGAAUAUAGGCCCUAUUCUCUCCAUUUAGUUUAACAAAACAACUGGCAGAAGUUCAAUGGAACCAAUGAUUAUUCUUAGAGGUUACGGCAAACCACUGACGUUGUUAGCAAAAGGCUCCGUGUAAGAUUCCCUAAGAGGAAAAGCGCAUGGAUAUUUCAAAAUGUAAUUAACAGUGAAUUCCAACAAUGUGAAAAAGAAGCAGUGGCUGUACCGGCAGCAGAGGAACUUGGCUGCAUGACAUGGGCACUUUGGUGGCCGCUGCUCCCUUAAAAGCAGCAAGGGACAGGGCCAGCAGUGACAGUGAUGGUGAGGAACAUCAGGACUGGCCCCAUCCAUGCACGUUCCUCGUGUGUUGCUGCCUUUGCUAUUGGACACAGUUAAAUAUAUAGAAGUGACCAAGCAUCCUAUGAAGCAAAACACUUUUUAUUAUUUUCUUAACCAUUAAGAAUAGUCAGAAUUUCAAACUCGGUCUUUUGUCAGCUGAGGCGAACUUCUAACAAGGCAGGCAGAAGACUUACACUGAUAAAUUGGCUGUCAGAACACAGGAGCAAAGGGUACAAAGUAGCGCAGUGCUCUUGGAGACCUGUUUAACCAGUCAAUAGGAGAGAAGUUUAAGCUCAAAGUUUUACAGGUUACUAAAAUUCCUGGCCUUUUGGGUGUGUGUGCCUUGCCCCUGCCCCCUUGCAUGGCCCGUCCUGCAGUGCUGGGGAUCCCAGGGCAACUUUCCUCCAGCCAGCCCAGCCUGGCACAGCCUCAGCCUUCCCUUCACUACAGUUCUGCUUUUCACACAGAAGCAAUGAGAAGCUCCAUUUAAUAAAAUAACAAUUAAAAAUGCAGCCCUCAUAGUGCAAGGCUGUGGCUCACCCUUUAGCAGCAGCCAGAGGCAGGCAGGGGCGGGGAAGCACCAUGUGACACCAAGACAGGCAAGGGCAAAACACGCAGCUAUGGCUUCCGAACCCAUCGAGCCGAACAUCCUCCCUGCACACCAAGAGUGUUUUUGUGGAUGUAACCAAAGGAAACACAACAACAGAACCUGGCUUGUCAAAAAAUACCCACAGAGGGGGAGAGAAAAAAUGAAAAUCCUCAACACAGCCUCGUCUGUCUCCAGCAAACAGGGCUUUUUUCAGGCCCUGGGCUCAGGCGUGGGCCCAAGCCCCUGCGGGUGGUGUUAUUGGCUGAUGGCCUUGCUGGCUGCACAGAGGCUGAAGCACGGUCCUCUCCCUGCCCUCAGCACUGGCCGCCCCACAGCCCUCAUGCCUCCCUGCUGCCACCCAGCCCAGCAGCCCCAUGGGUGGCACACGGCUGUGUGACCGGGCCAGCCCCCCCGAGGAACAUCUCUGAGACACCGCAAAACAAGCAACGCUUAUCUCAUGCAUGCCACAGGUGUGAUGUCAUCCCCUCUGGCGAAAGAACGAGGAUGUCUACAGCCUCCACUGUGCAAAAACACAGGAACUGAAGUUAAUGUGCCUCAGACUUUGUUAAAAUAUGGUGAUAAUUAAGAAAUAUAAUUACCACUACGAAGUUAAUGCCUCUCUGAGUUCUUACAAACAACUUUUUAAUUUGCACUGAGCAUUUACAUUGCAGAUGCACAGUCAGCUGGGUGCGGGGCCGGCAGUGCUGCAGUCCAUGUGCCAUGGCCCACCUGGAGGGCAGGCGUGCAGGGGAGCCGUGUCAGACACACACUGCGUUCUAUUAAGGAAAAAAAAAAGAAAGGAAAAAACUUACGAGGUAAUUGAUUGCUUUCUUCUAGUCUUUUAUUAGUCGUGAUUAAGGAGCUACAGUAGCCCUGUUUACACAUCUCCAACAAGUCAGGACCUGCAGCACGUUAUUGGCUUGCAGCCCACAACGCACAGUCCGUUCUCAGCAGCAGUGAUCUGAAGUGGAACGGCCCUGCAGGAAGCGCGCAUCCCUGCUCACACGGGGCAGGAGCAGCAGUAACGCUGCAGGCCCAGGGCUCAGCCCUGACUUGCCACUGCCCUGGGCACGCUCUGCGAGCAGGACACGGGGCCCGGGCAGGGACACAGCGAGCUCAAUGCUGCUCUCAGCUCAUGGACCGAACCGAGAGCUCCUCGCUGCUUAACAUGCAGGCAAAGCACUGCCAAUCUAAAAUGGCUGAUCAGUAAUACUUUAAUUGCAGUUUCAUAGAAACAAAUUGCUAUUUAAUUGCAAUGAGCUCUUCUGUGGCUUCGCUGGACUGACAACAGGCAUACACCUGGUACUGAAAAGCAACAAAGGCUCCCUGGUACUUCACGUACCGCAGGCACAGGAAGUGAAACCGGUCCUGGAACACGUCUCACACUGAAGAAACACAAUACUCUGAAGGUAUUUGACAUAUGUGUCCUGAUCUCAAUUUCAAUUAUUUCAACGGAGCUGUUCAGAACACAGGUAACUUGCACAAGGCCUGACAUCUGAUACCGGCCAAAGGAUUUGGUAAAAAAAAUAAAAUUAAAUGAUCUUUUGAAAUGCUUGGUAGCAACUCAUACUACAGUAGUAUCUGAUUUAUUUUAUUUUAUUUAUUGUAUUUCUCCUAGAAUUAGAUGAUGCAAAUUUUAUCAGUGUUAACUAACGGGGAGAAAGGGAGACAAACUCAGUGUGGUUAAUAUUCCAAAGAUGUGACUUAAUUUCAUAGGCUUCAUUCUGGUAAGACAUUCUCAUUUUACAUUUCGUAAGAUACUGCAUAACCUGUUAAAAUAUUUAAAGAUAAAUCAUGUAGGACUGAAAAGACAGUAUCUUGUUGCAAACAGAAUUUGGUUUGGAAAGGCUUAAUGUCCCACUGCCUGCCAGGAUGCGUAAAUCUCGUAACUAGACAGCUGGAUAGGUAAAAACAUUAAACCCAUUUAGAGGGCAAUCUUUUUACAAAAUUGUUUCAUUAAUAAGAGUGACAAUUUAUAUGAUUGAGACGCUUAGAUGCAGUACAGACAGAGCCUUUUAUCCAGGUUCACUAGGAUGAUUUCAGAUUAGUAAUAUUUCCUUUGAUUUUUUUAACAGCAUUCAUUUUUGAAAGUGAGGGAAGCUCUUACUGAUUAUUUGUAUGACUUUUCAGCAGCACUAAAUGCAAGGAGUGUAUUUCAGACUCAGCGUAGCAAAUGCAUGUGAUAAAAGGUGAACAAGUACAUGUUUCCUUUUACAGAUCUCCUAAAAAAAUUGAUUUUUCACAUAAGGACAAAUCUAAGUGUUUCCAGUAGCCUUCCCCCCAGCGUCCCCAUUAGAGCCUGUUUUAUUGUCUGAAAUGCCUCUGGUUUCAAGAAAGUGUUUUACCUAAAGGAAGAAUACUACUUAAAUAUGUUCUAUUGUAUAUUCAUAGCUCCAUUAGUCCUCCUCCAAUUUAGCACAUCAAAGCAAAGGCUUCAUCACUUGCAUGUGGAUUAUGCUAACAUGAGUGACAUUUGUAAUCUUAUAGGUCUGCAACUUAAGAAAUGCUUUUAAAGUAAGCUAUUAAAAAGGUAGCUGCGCUUUACAAACGAGUCAUAUAAUAGUUUAUUUAAAGCUGUUAAUGAACUUCAACCUCUACAUCACUAAAUGCUAUACUACAUUACUUACUAGAAGUUAUUAGGUAUCUUCUUAGCACUUCUAGGUUACAUUGGACAACCGAAAAUCUGUACGUUAGAUUUAACCGUGGUACCUUGAGUGCUUAUACUGGAAUAAUAUAAAAGAUGCCUACAGACUCACUAAUACUUGAAUUUCACAUUUGUAUGAUUUUGAGUGUCUUUUCAAAGACAUUCCAGCCACACAAUUUGCAAGACUCUUACCUAAAGACUGUAAUGCAAGAUCAAAAAGCUUAGAAACUUAUUUUUAAAAAUACAUAAGUGCAUUUAAUUUAAAAAGUCAUACAUAGCUUCAGUAGUUUUAUCACUUUAUAUGAUAUGUAAGUAUUCUGUUAUCUUUACUGUCCGUCACCGUACGUUAUAUCUUUUUCUUUUCUCUUCAACAGUCCUAUUUUUGCCCAGGCAAUGAAGUGCUAAAGGAAGAAAUCCAAGAGACCUCACCACAGUAGGCCAAGAAAUAGAAUCUGAAACAAAAUAUAUCUGCUUCUGGUUGUUUAUACAGACAAAUCUGCUUCUUAUACACCAGCGUAACAACAAAAGUAAGUGAAGCUCACUCCAUAACCAAACAAGCUACACCUUCUUGAAAACAGAAUUUAAAAAGAAAACAUAAUCACACUGUAUUUCAAAUGCAUUAUUCUCCAAUAAAAGUCAAACAGCUGGUAAUGCUGAUUUGCUAUGAGUUGCAGCAGAGGCACCUUCUGGGUGCCCACAGUUCCCUGACUGAGGGCAUACAGUGCAUCAUAGAUUCAUGUCACUGUUCUUGCUAUAAAUAUGAAAAAUGAGGAUUUUUUUCUCAGAGUUGAUCUGCACAGACCUGAAGGCCCACUGAACAAAGUUGCCCUCUUUCUAAGCUUAGAGAAAGUUGUCUUACUUUGGAGGGCGUUUUUUUUUCUUUGUUUCUGUCCUUCCAGAGAGCAGACCAUAACUGCCAUCAGUUUGUUCUUGGAAGUAACCCAGGAAGCUGAUUUUUCUUUCCUUAAGAUUAUCAGUUUUGAAAGUUUCUUGCACAGCAAAGUCAAGUUUAUUUUGUUCAGAUCAGAACAGCUACUGUAUUCCUCUUCAUGAAUGCUCAAUUCACGUGCUCCGCAUGAGGUACGCACCUUCUGUUGCUUUUAUAUUUAUUAUUAUUUCCGGAUCUCUUGAAGUGUGCUCAUACACACUCAUGCUUUCACACUCACACACACACACACCUCUAACACAGGCAGUUCUGCAGGAAGGAGCCAGAUAGAAAGAGACCACAAUACCUAUAAUGUGUACCACACUUCACUGCAAUCUAAACUGUCAUGUAUUUGCUGUUAUUAGAAGCAAGAAUCUCAAUGAAAAACUAAAGAUCAUUUUGAAGCAGCGCCUCCCUGUAUCCACACCAAAAUCAACACAGUAAUUUAAUAGGUUCUUUAGAGGCGUAAGACAAAACAAAAAGAGAACCCACCAAAAACCUCCAAACCAAAACCUUAUUUUUAAAGGACACUGGCAAUUAAGGUAAUGACUUUGUU
Phasianus colchicus (ring-necked pheasant) is the source of this 8452-nucleotide non-coding RNA. NCBI's taxonomy places the organism in Eukaryota, Metazoa, Chordata, Aves, Galliformes, Phasianidae. The record is from RefSeq and is a predicted model, not a curated record.